Aethalodelphis obliquidens (Pacific white-sided dolphin) is the source of this 3046-nucleotide long non-coding RNA. RefSeq lists it as uncharacterized. The record is from RefSeq and is a predicted model, not a curated record. Lineage: Eukaryota; Metazoa; Chordata; Mammalia; Artiodactyla; Delphinidae. The transcript has 3 exons.
CUCCGGGCUGCCUGACUGGGUGCUGCUGGAGGCGGUUGCUCCCUGAGAUGCUGGUGGAUUAGGAGGAUUUGUGGCUGGUUCACCCCUGAACUUGGAGGGAGGAGGGGCCCGGAGCUUGAGUGGGGAGACGAGCUCCCGGAAGCCCCCUGAGAUUAAAAUAAAGAGCUGACAGGAGGAGGUCAAUCCCUCUUGGCCUUCUGGGAGGAUAGGACAGGUGAUCCGAAUCUUCAGAGCCGCAGCCUUGAGCCGAGGCCUUUCCCACUGCCCCUCACCCAUCCCUGCGCCAACGUACCCCACCAGCUCUAGCUCUCUAAGAGCAACGAUGUUCCCUGCCUGCCUUCUGCCCUAAAUCUGAGGGUCUCAGCGACAGGGAUGGCCCUGUAAUGCAGGGGUCAGGAGCCAGGCUCUGGAAGCAGCCCAGGUUCAAAUCUCAGCUUUGCAAUUUACUAGCUGUGUGACCCCAGGUGCGUUUCUUAACGUCUCUCUGCCUAGAAUUCUCUUCCCCUAAUCUUUCACCUCCUUCACGGCUUUCCUUAAAUGUCGCCUUCUCAGCCAGGCCUAUAGUGACCAUUCUGUCAACAAGAGCACCCCAAACGUCAGGCUGUUUAUCCUGCUUGACUGCUCUUCCUUGAUCGCACGUGCACCUUCUGACUUACUGUUUACAUAUUCUGCCUGGGAUCGCACCAGAAUGAAAGCGCCAUGAAGGCGGGGAUUCUAUCUGUUUUGUUGCCCGCUGCAUCUCCAUCGACAGAAGGGUAUCUGGCGGGUUUGGGCCCUCAGUGACUAUUCUUUGAGUGAACAGGCAUGAUAAUAGCGUCUCUCCCACUGUUAUUGUGAGGCUGAAAUGAGUUAAUACAUGCGAUGCAUUUAGAAUAGAGCCUGGCACGUAGUUAAGAGCUGAACGCAUGUUAGUUUUUGCCAUUAUUCUUCUAUGACAGGGAUCAAAAACUAAACUGCUUACAGGGGCCAGCAAGUGGAGUGUGUGAGUGAAGCCGGGGGUCAGGGAGGCAGUAGGCGUGGUGAGGCCCACGCCUGCAUGGCAGGGGCUGCCAGUGUUUGACUCCAUUUGAAUGUGGUCAGAUGGGAUUAUGGCCUGGUGUUACUAGAUUUUUUGGUAAGCCAAAAGAAAUCCAGAAAUCAGAUUUUCAGGUUUGAAAACUGCAAUUUGGAAAUUUGGAAAAAUUGGAAAUUUGCAAUUUCCAAACUGUAAGAGUGAUUUCCAAAUUUUCAAAAAUUUUCAAAAACAUAGGGUGGGACAAAUAUAACUUAUCUGUGGCUCCGUUUCAGCAGCAGGUCAUCAGUUUGCAACCAAGCCUGGUGCCAGGAGCUGGCAGACAACAUGCUUGUUGAGUGAGUGACUGGACAAGCAGGGGACAGGGAGCUCCACCAGGGGAGGCUUCCGCCGCUGCGGUCAGCUCGGUCAGCAGGACAGGCCACAGGGAAGAGCCCUCGUGAGUAGGUCUGCACCUGAAAUCUCAUCACCCAGAGGAGAGGUCAGUGGCGCCCUGGCUUGGCUGGGCGUAACGCCUGGAACCCCAGAAUCGCCGUCUUGGACGGGAGAGAUGUCUCUUCUUUGUCCAGGGGUGGUAACUACAAAGAACAAAGCCCACAGUGUCUAGGCGGGUGAGUCGGGGUUUUUAUCCUAUUUCGUAACAGGCUAAUGGCAGGGGAAAGCAGGUCCCCGCUGCUGGGAGAAAGCCCCCUGCCAGCCUCCCCUGGUGCUGCUCAGAAAGGACCCGGAAGUUCAGGCACAGAUGUGCUGACCUCUCCCUCCUGCCCACCCCACCCACUGUGGGUCCAGAGUGUUUCUCAGGAGGCCUUCAUGUUAGGGGGUGGGGUGCGUAUGUGUGUGUCAUUAUUUUUUCCCAUCAGUUUGUGACAGCAUAUCAUUUCUUGAAAGGAGCCCUUUCUCUCUGUCUAGACUUUCACUAUCUUGCAGCAUUUGUUCUCCAGAGCAGUUGGAAACAGGACAGUCACUGCACUCAAAAACAAACAAACAAACAAAAGCCAGGCCAUGAAAGUGAGGCCAGAGGCCUUCACCCUGGCCUCUGAACCUGGCAUGGGAGGUGAUUAGAAGUGCCUCCUGGGUAUCUACACCGAGACUGCAGGUGAGGCGAGGCCGAUGUCACAGGAAGAAACCAAGCUCCAAAAGGAUGUCACCUGCCUGUGUCACACAGUUGCCAAAUGGCGAAGCCAGGAGGAAAGCCCAGGGCGGCCUCCCCACUGAGGGCUCUUUUCAAGACAUUACAGCCGCCUCCCUUCUCAAGGAGGCCUGAGCAGAGGGGUCAAGAAGCCGCAUUUCUGAAGACACAGGCUCUUCCCAGAGGCUGGCCCUGUCCCACCCCAAGCUGGGAGUCCCCCAGCUCCCAUCCCGUUCCUCUACCUUCCCCUGCGUGAGCUGAACGGCAAGCGGACCCUUCGACCCCGGCCAGGAAGCAGAGAGCUAGAAAAUAAGUUCCAUGAGGUCAGGGUUCUUGAUCUGUUUUUCAUCACUGAUGUGUUCCCAGUACUGAGAGCAGUGUCUGACAUACAGUGGUGUUCAAUAAUUAUUGGAUGGAUGGAUGGAUGGAUAAGAAAAGAAAUAACAGCCAGGAGCCUCUUCCGUUCACAGGUACAGAAGUCUCCAGGGGAGGGGACUGGGGCCAGGGGUGUGGGUCUGACAGUGUGAUACCCAUCGGGGGGGUGGGGUGGGGUCAAUGCCCAGGUGCCCUUUGUCCCUCUGCUAAGUCAUCGGGGGUAAAAUUAUCACCAAGCCUGGGAGUAUGGGAGGAACGCUGAGCCCAUGUGUACAAAGGCGAGUGUGGCAGCCCUCCAGGGAAGAGGGUUGCCCAGUGGGACGACUCAGUGUCUCUGGAUAGUUUAUUUUACAUGGGAUGAAUCUAAGCAUCUCAAGUGUACACACAGCGCCGAAGGAAAAAAAAAGAGAACAUUUAACUUCCUGAAAAUGCUUUAUAAUAAUGCAGAACAAUUAUAUAUAGCAAACGCCUUCAAAAUUUAAACCCUUUAAACAUUUAACUUUUCAGCAUUAAUACACACAAAUGCUAUU